UCCGGAGGGUGCAAGCGUUAUCCGGAUUCACUGGGUUUAAAGGGUGCGUAGGUGGGCAGGUAAGUCAGUGGUGAAAUCUCCGGGCUUAACCCGGAAACUGCCAUUGAUACUAUUUGUCUUGAAUACCGUGGAGGUCAGCGGAAUAUGUCAUGUAGCGGUGAAAUGCUUAGAUAUGACAUAGAACACCAAUUGCGAAGGCAGCUGGCUACACGAAUAUUGACACUGAUGCACGAAAGCGUGGGGAUCAAACAGG
RNAcentral lists this ribosomal RNA (253 nucleotides) under uncultured bacterium. Its description in RNAcentral is "partial 16S ribosomal RNA". It matches the Rfam family "Bacterial small subunit ribosomal RNA", at positions 524 to 776 of the family's 1533-position model. The record is from RNAcentral.